UACGUAGGGGGCUAGCGUUGUCCGGAUUUAUUGGGCGUAAAGAGCGUGUAGGCGGCCAGGUAGGUCUGGUGUGAAAACUCGAGGCUUAACCUUGAGAUGUCAUCGGAAACCAUUUGGCUAGAGUCCGGAAGAGGAAAGUGGAAUUCCACGUGUAGCAGUGAAAUGCGUAGAGAUGUGGAGGAACACCGAUGGCGAAGGCAGCCCCCUGGGUCAACACUGACGCUCAUGCACGAAAGCGUGGGGAGCAAACAGG
RNAcentral lists this ribosomal RNA (253 nucleotides) under uncultured bacterium. RNAcentral describes it as "partial 16S ribosomal RNA". It matches the Rfam family "Bacterial small subunit ribosomal RNA", at positions 524 to 776 of the family's 1533-position model. The record is from RNAcentral.